This is a long non-coding RNA of Equus caballus (horse), 2030 nucleotides long. The record is from Ensembl. NCBI's taxonomy places the organism in Eukaryota, Metazoa, Chordata, Mammalia, Perissodactyla, Equidae.
GAAAGUGGCCGUCUGUCCUCAUCAGAACCUGAUCAUGCUGACACCCUGAUCUUGGACUUCCAGCCUUCAGAACUGUGAGAAAUAAACUUUUCUAGUUGAUAAGCCACCCAACCUAUGGUGUUUAGCUAUAGCUGCCUGAACUAAGUAAGACACAAAGUAAAAUUAAAAGGAAAAUAAUUUACAAUGAAAUAGCACGCAUUUCAACAUGCACAUGCUCAGCAGGACUGCACUAGAAUAAAUGACAAAGUUGCAGGCGCUCGUGUCCAUACCCAGCAUCACCUUGAAUGUGGCAGCUACCAGUGCAGGCCCACACAGGUUUCUUGCAAUGGAGAUUCAAAUUCCAUGAGUGGUGUUGACAUUGCUGAUGUGAUUUUCCAGAAUGGUGAACAACUCUUGGAAAAGUUCUAAACAAAACAGAGCACAGUGUUCCCUUGAUGUGCUCAGUAGUUGCUUUCCUGGAAAAUGUAUUUUUAAAAUGCUCUGGGUUUGUAGAUAAAAGAGAGUUAGGUUUUAGCUCAAGUAAUUUUAAACAGUUUCUUCACCUGUGCAAAUGUUCAGUGGGGUGUUCAAAAAUCAUGCAGCUCACAAGAAUGGGACUGUCACAUGCAUUGCAGGCUGUCCACCAUCUCCAGCCGUUACAUCUCUACCCAGUAAUGGUCAUAGCGGUCCUUGAGUCAUUGUGACAAUCGAGAAUACUCCACUCCACAUCAUUCCGUAUUGAGAACCAUAGUUCCCAGCCAAUGCUGAUGCUCCCAUCCCCCUUCCUGUGAUGAAACACAAGGGGAAUUCUACUGGAGGCCUUUGGCACAAGGUGUUUCUACCUGAUAAAAAGAGACACUGGUGCAUAAACAUUACCUUUCUCUGCCCGUGGUUGUUAUAUGAGGAUAUGACGUCUGGGAGACUGCAACAUUCUUGCUCUCUUCAGGAGAGCCAGCCUGAGGAAGAGGCCAGGACAUGGAGCAGGGAAGAGCAGAAAGGUGGAAAGAGAAAGCUAUUCCUGCCACAGCUUCAGAUGUCCAACAAUAUCAACAGAAAAGAUAAAAAUAUCACAAAACUUCUUCCUCCCAGCAUCCAAAUUUCAGUGGAUUUUCUCUGCUUGAGCCUCACGCAUCCUUCUUAUUCCUAUCCUUGAUGCUGAGGGCUGGGGCCAGGAAUCUUGAUUGACAACUCCCCAGAAACACCUGGAAGAAGACAGAGCAAUUUCCUCAAAGAUCUAAGAGGAUUGAACAAAAAUCUGUAUACAUCAUCUAAUUAAAUAAAACUAAUUACACUUUAUCUUGGUUGAUGUAAUUUAUUGUCAGCAUGAAUUGCUUCAGCCAUUUUUCCGCAACCCAUAAGAUUUGAGCUUGAUGGUGUCUUGUCUUCACUUCUGAACUGCUGCAAGUGACGAGGUUAUGGCUUCGCUGGGACAAUGCCUCGGUCUGUCUCUGGGCUGUGUGGACGGAACUGCACGUUCUGGAUCCUCUGGAGAUGCGUGUUCGCUGACUUCUUGUCACGCCCACAGAUGACUGGUCUCGUAUGUUACCUUCUUGAUUUCUCUCUAUUUCACUCCAGGAUAAUCUUCCAACAAUGCUGUCACCCUUAGGAACUGAACUAAAUAUUUCAAUUCAAACUGAAAUCCACAUUUCUAUUUCCUUGACCUUUUGACCUCCAUCAUCUCUGUUACUUAUCUUCAGGUUGGAGGAGCUUUUGCAGGAAUGCAUUUUUUUUUUUAACCAAAAGAUGAUUGGAAUUACACAUGGAAUCUUCAAUUGUGCUUGUUCCGAAUAGCACUUAUCAAAUUCCCUUUUAAAACUGGAUAUUAUUGAGAACACUAAAACACACUCUCAACCUUCCAGAAAGUGAGGAAUUUUUUAAUCAGUUUGGAUGAAGCGUAUUUGAAGAGACAACUCACAGUAAAUACCUGUGCAUAAUUAACAUAAUUAACUGCAUAAUCAACAGCUCCUCCCGUGCAUGUCUGCAUCCCCAAGGAUCUCCUUCUCUGUGGUCUAUUUCUGUGGCCUCGUCAUUGCACAUUUUCUGAACUCGGC